AGAGUUUGAUCCUGGCUCAGAAUCAACGCUGGCGGCGUGCCUAACACAUGCAAGUCGCACGAGAAAGGGGAGCAAUCCCUGAGUAAAGUGGCGCACGGGUGAGUAACACGUGACUAACCUACCUCCGAGUGGGGAAUAACUGAGAGAAAUCUUAGCUAAUACCGCAUAACACUUACGAGUCAAAGCAGCAAUGCGCUUGGAGAGGGGGUCGCGGCAGAUUAGUUAGUUGGCGGGGUAAUGGCCCACCAAGACGAUGAUCUGUAUCCGGCCUGAGAGGGCGCACGGACACACUGGAACUGAAACACGGUCCAGACUCCUACGGGAGGCAGCAGUGGGGAAUUUUGCGCAAUGGGGGAAACCCUGACGCAGCAACGCCGCGUGGAGGAUGAAAUAUCUUGGUAUGUAAACUCCUUUCGAUGGGGAAGAUUAUGACGGUACCCAUAGAAGAAGCCCCGGCUAACUUCGUGCCAGCAGCCGCGGUAAUACGAGGGGGGCAAGCGUUGUUCGGAUUUAUUGGGCGUAAAGGGUGCGUAGGCGGUUUGGCAAGUCUGAUGUGAAAUCUGUGGGCUCAACCCAUAGUCUGCAUCAGAAACUGCCGGGCUUGAGUAUGGGAGAGGUGAGUGGAAUUUCCGGUGUAGCGGUGAAAUGCGUAGAUAUCGGAAGGAACACCUGUGGCGAAAGCGGCUCACUGGACCAUAACUGACGCUGAUGCACGAAAGCUAGGGGAGCAAACAGGAUUAGAUACCCUGGUAGUCCUAGCCCUAAACGAUGAUUGCUUGGUGUGGCAGGUACCCAAUCCUGCCGUGCCGAAGCUAACGCGAUAAGCAAUCCGCCUGGGGAGUACGGUCGCAAGGCUGAAACUCAAAGGAAUUGACGG
This 877-nucleotide ribosomal RNA is filed under the name uncultured bacterium. Its description in RNAcentral is "bacterial SSU rRNA". It matches the Rfam family "Bacterial small subunit ribosomal RNA", at positions 8 to 916 of the family's 1533-position model. The record is from RNAcentral.